This 253-nucleotide ribosomal RNA is filed under the name uncultured prokaryote. RNAcentral describes it as "partial 16S ribosomal RNA". It matches the Rfam family "Bacterial small subunit ribosomal RNA", at positions 525 to 777 of the family's 1533-position model. The record is from RNAcentral.
ACAGAGGUCCCGAGCGUUGUUCGGAUUCACUGGGCGUAAAGGGUGCGCAGGUGGCAUGGUAAGUUUGAUGUGAAAGCCCCGGGCUUAACCCGGGAAUGGCAUUGAAUACUACUGUGCUGGAGGAUCGGAGGGGGGACUGGAAUUCUUGGUGUAGCGGUGAAAUGCGUAGAUAUCAAGAGGAACACCAGUGGCGAAGGCGAGUCCCUGGACGAUACCUGACACUGAGGCACGAAAGCCAAGGGAGCAAACAGGA